RNAcentral lists this unclassified non-coding RNA (204 nucleotides) under Pluteus exiguus. RNAcentral's name for it is "partial internal transcribed spacer 2". The record is from RNAcentral. Lineage: Eukaryota; Fungi; Basidiomycota; Agaricomycetes; Agaricales; Pluteaceae.
AAAUUCUCAACCCCAUCUUUCUUGUGAAUGAAUGGUGUUUGGAUGUGGAAGCCUGCUGGCCUUGCAUAGGUCAGCUCUUCUGAAAUACAUUAGCGGGGCCGCUGUAUGCGAAGCUGCAGCUUGGUAAUGAUAGAUGUCUUACCAGGUCACAGUUGAGCAAAGUGCCCAGCUUACAGUCGUCUCUGUGAGACACUUGACAUGACA